ACGCUCGACACCUACGGAGGCAGCAGUGGGGAAUAUUGCACAAUGGAGGAAACUCUGAUGCAGCGAUGCCGCGUGAGGGAAGAAGGUUUUCGGAUUGUAAACCUCUGUCUUUGGGGACGAUAAUGACGGUACCCAAGGAGGAAGCUCCGGCUAACUACGUGCUAGCAGCCGCGGUAAUCUGAGCGGGCUGGCAAGGC
This 197-nucleotide ribosomal RNA is filed under the name uncultured bacterium. Its description in RNAcentral is "partial 16S ribosomal RNA". It matches the Rfam family "Bacterial small subunit ribosomal RNA", at positions 328 to 539 of the family's 1533-position model. The record is from RNAcentral.